RNAcentral lists this ribosomal RNA (262 nucleotides) under uncultured bacterium. Its description in RNAcentral is "partial 16S ribosomal RNA". It matches the Rfam family "Bacterial small subunit ribosomal RNA", at positions 793 to 1055 of the family's 1533-position model. The record is from RNAcentral.
GUCCACGCCGUAAACGAUGGGUGCUAGGUGUGGGGGUGUCGACUCCCCCCGUGCCGAAGCUAACGCAUUAAGCACCCCGCCUGGGGAGUACGGCCGCAAGGCUAAAACUCAAAGGAAUUGACGGGGGCCCGCACAAGCAGCGGAGCAUGUGGUUUAAUUCGACGCAACGCGAAGAACCUUACCAAGGCUUGACAUGAUCGAGAAAGCCGUAGAAAUACGGCCCUCCUUCGGGACUCGACCACAGGUGGUGCAUGGCUGUCGU